RNAcentral lists this ribosomal RNA (1094 nucleotides) under Bacillus sp. (in: firmicutes). RNAcentral describes it as "bacterial SSU rRNA". It matches the Rfam family "Bacterial small subunit ribosomal RNA", at positions 56 to 1134 of the family's 1533-position model. Lineage: Bacteria; Bacillati; Bacillota; Bacilli; Caryophanales; Bacillaceae. The record is from RNAcentral.
UGCAGUCGAGCGGACAGAUGGGAGCUUGCUCCCUGAUGUUAGCGGCGGACGGGUGAGUAACACGUGGGUAACCUGCCUGUAAGACUGGGAUAACUCCGGGAAACCGGGGCUAAUACCGGAUGGUUGUCUGAACCGCAUGGUUCAGACAUAAAAGGUGGCUUCGGCUACCACUUACAGAUGGACCCGCGGCGCAUUAGCUAGUUGGUGAGGUAACGGCUCACCAAGGCGACGAUGCGUAGCCGACCUGAGAGGGUGAUCGGCCACACUGGGACUGAGACACGGCCCAGACUCCUACGGGAGGCAGCAGUAGGGAAUCUUCCGCAAUGGACGAAAGUCUGACGGAGCAACGCCGCGUGAGUGAUGAAGGUUUUCGGAUCGUAAAGCUCUGUUGUUAGGGAAGAACAAGUGCCGUUCAAAUAGGGCGGCACCUUGACGGUACCUAACCAGAAAGCCACGGCUAACUACGUGCCAGCAGCCGCGGUAAUACGUAGGUGGCAAGCGUUGUCCGGAAUUAUUGGGCGUAAAGGGCUCGCAGGCGGUUUCUUAAGUCUGAUGUGAAAGCCCCCGGCUCAACCGGGGAGGGUCAUUGGAAACUGGGGAACUUGAGUGCAGAAGAGGAGAGUGGAAUUCCACGUGUAGCGGUGAAAUGCGUAGAGAUGUGGAGGAACACCAGUGGCGAAGGCGACUCUCUGGUCUGUAACUGACGCUGAGGAGCGAAAGCGUGGGGAGCGAACAGGAUUAGAUACCCUGGUAGUCCACGCCGUAAACGAUGAGUGCUAAGUGUUAGGGGGUUUCCGCCCCUUAGUGCUGCAGCUAACGCAUUAAGCACUCCGCCUGGGGAGUACGGUCGCAAGACUGAAACUCAAAGGAAUUGACGGGGGCCCGCACAAGCGGUGGAGCAUGUGGUUUAAUUCGAAGCAACGCGAAGAACCUUACCAGGUCUUGACAUCCUCUGACAAUCCUAGAGAUAGGACGUCCCCUUCGGGGGCAGAGUGACAGGUGGUGCAUGGUUGUCGUCAGCUCGUGUCGUGAGAUGUUGGGUUAAGUCCCGCAACGAGCGCAACCCUUGAUCUUAGUUGCCAGCAUUCAGUUGG